UUCUGGCUCAGGAUGAACGCUAGCGACAGGCUAACACAUGCAAGUCGAGGGCAGCAUAAAAGUAGCAAUACUUGGUGGCGACCGGCGCACGGGUGAGUAACGCGUAUGCAACCUACCUAUCAGAGGGGAAUAACCCGGCGAAAGUCGGACUAAUACCGCAUAAAACAGGGGCACCGCAUGGUGAUAUUGUUAAAGAAAUUCGCUGAUAGAUGGGCAUGCGUUCCAUUAGGUAGUUGGUGAGGUAACGGCUCACCAAGCCGACGAUGGAUAGGGGAACUGAGAGGUUGGUCCCCCACACUGGUACUGAGACACGGACCAGACUCCUACGGGAGGCAGCAGUGAGGAAUAUUGGUCAAUGGGCGGGAGCCUGAACCAGCCAAGUCGCGUGAAGGAAGAAGGAUCUAUGGUUCGUAAACUUCUUUUGCAGGGGAAUAAAGUGCAGGACGUGUCCUGUUUUGUAUGUACCCUGAGAAUAAGGAUCGGCUAACUCCGUGCCAGCCGCGGC
Molecule: ribosomal RNA, 505 nt
Filed under: uncultured bacterium
Lineage: Bacteria
Description: bacterial SSU rRNA
Rfam family: Bacterial small subunit ribosomal RNA
Source: RNAcentral